GCCACCCUAGCUCAGCUGGUAGAGCAAUGCUUUCGUAAAGCAUAGGUCGUCGGUUCGAAUCCGACGGGUGGCU
Molecule: transfer RNA, 73 nt
Filed under: Fidelibacterota bacterium CG1_02_48_14
Lineage: Bacteria; Pseudomonadati; Fidelibacterota
Also listed under: 1 other name
Description: Candidatus Marinimicrobia bacterium CG1_02_48_14 tRNA-Thr
Rfam family: tRNA
About the family: Transfer RNA (tRNA) molecules are approximately 80 nucleotides in length. Their secondary structure includes four short double-helical elements and three loops (D, anti-codon, and T loops).
Source: RNAcentral